GAGGAUAUGAUUUCAAACUUGUCGCGCAAGUCUUAGGGUCCGCUCAGGUGGAUCUAUGCUGAUUGACAUAUUUUUAACUCUGACUC
This is a small nucleolar RNA of Triticum dicoccoides, 86 nucleotides long. RefSeq annotates it as small nucleolar RNA U31b. The record is from RefSeq and is a predicted model, not a curated record. The transcript has a single exon. NCBI's taxonomy places the organism in Eukaryota, Viridiplantae, Streptophyta, Magnoliopsida, Poales, Poaceae.